GACGGAGGGUGCUAGCGUUGUUCGGAAUCACUGGGCGUAAAGGGCGCGCAGGCGGCCAAGUCAGUCGGGCGUGAAAGCCCGGGGCUCAACCCCGGAACGGCGCCCGAGACGGCUUGGCUCGAGACCGGGAGAGGAGGGUGGAAUAGCCAGUGUAGAGGUGAAAUUCGUAGAUAUUGGCUGGAACACCGGUGGCGAAAGCGGCUCUCUGGCCCGGUUCUGACGCUGAGGCGCGAAAGCGUGGGGAGCAAACAGG
RNAcentral lists this ribosomal RNA (253 nucleotides) under uncultured bacterium. RNAcentral describes it as "partial 16S ribosomal RNA". It matches the Rfam family "Bacterial small subunit ribosomal RNA", at positions 524 to 776 of the family's 1533-position model. The record is from RNAcentral.